UGGGGAAUAUUGGACAAUGGGCGCAAGCCUGAUCCAGCCAUGCCGCGUGUGUGAAGAAGGCCUUUUGGUUGUAAAGCACUUUAAGCGAGGAGGAGGCUACUUGGAUUAAUACUCUAGGAUAGUGGACGUUACUCGCAGAAUAAGCACCGGCUAACUCUGUGCCAGCAGUCGCGGUAAUACAGAGGGUGCGAGCGUUAAUCGGAUUUACUGGGCGUAAAGCGUGCGUAGGCGGCUUCUUAAGUCGGAUGUGAAAUCCCUGAGCUUAACUUAGGAAUUGCAUUCGAUACUGGGAAGCUAGAGUAUGGGAGAGGAUGGUAGAAUUCCAGGUGUAGCGGUGAAAUGCGUAGAGAUCUGGAGGAAUACCGAUGGCGAAGGCAGCCAUCUGGCCUAAUACUGACGCUGAGGUACGAAAGCAUGGGGAGCAAACAGG
Molecule: ribosomal RNA, 430 nt
Filed under: bacterium
Lineage: Bacteria
Description: partial 16S ribosomal RNA
Rfam family: Bacterial small subunit ribosomal RNA
Source: RNAcentral